GGUAGGGUGGCCGAGUAAGGCGGUAAGCUGUAAACUUACUUAUGGGGUGGAAAUCCCCCUACUA
Molecule: transfer RNA, 64 nt
Filed under: Gekko swinhonis (Peking gecko)
Lineage: Eukaryota; Metazoa; Chordata; Lepidosauria; Squamata; Gekkonidae
Description: tRNA-Tyr
Rfam family: tRNA
About the family: Transfer RNA (tRNA) molecules are approximately 80 nucleotides in length.
Source: RNAcentral